CUCUAUAAAUAGAAGGCUUCAUUAGUAUGGAGUAAACACAAGCAAGCAAGCAAAUAGCAAUAUAUAUACAAAUGAAUAUGAUGAAGUGUUUAUUUUUGUUAUGUUUGUGUUUGUUUCCCAUUGUGGUGUUUUCAUCAAGUUUCACUUCCCAAAAUCCCAUUGAAUUACCAAAUGAUUCUACUUCGGGUAAGCCAGUACUUGACAUAACUGGUAAAGAAGUUACUAGUAAUUCGAGUUAUCGCAUUAUUUCUGCGUUUUGGGGUGCGUUAGGUGGUGAUGUGUACCUAGGUGAGUCCCCAAAUUCAGAUGCCCCUUGUCUAAAUGGUACAAUUCGGAUCGUGGACCUAGAGGUACACCUGUGAAAUUCAUUCCUCAUUCUGAAGGUAUGUCUGAAAAUAAACUAUUCAACAUACAAUUCGAUAUUCCUACAUUCAGAUUGUGUGUUAAAUAUACAAUUUGGAAAGUGGGGGAGUACAAUGAAACUCUAGGUGGGGUAUUAUUGGAGACUGGAGGAAGCAUAGGGCAAAGAGAUAGCAGCUAUUUCAAGAUUGUUAAAUCAAAACUUGGUUACAACUUAAUCUGUUGCGAUUCUACUCCUAUUUUCUGCCCAUUUUGCCGUAAGGGUCAGUUAUGUGUAAAUGUGGGUGGUGUUUUUCAAGAUGGAAGAAGGCGUUUGGCUCUUACUAAGGAUCAGCCUCUUGAUGUCUUAUUCGAUCGAGGAAAUCAAGUAACAAAUGUUUAAAUUUGCAGCUAGCUAUGUUGUAAAAUAAACACCUGCUAAGGUAUAUUUAGCAUGGUUUUCUAAAUAAAUUAUCUUUCCUUCUCCUUUA
Molecule: RNA transcript, 830 nt
Organism: Solanum pennellii
Lineage: Eukaryota; Viridiplantae; Streptophyta; Magnoliopsida; Solanales; Solanaceae
Gene name: aspartic protease inhibitor 1-like
Exons: 1
Source: RefSeq, a predicted model, not a curated record